RNAcentral lists this small nucleolar RNA (106 nucleotides) under Gossypium barbadense (sea-island cotton). RNAcentral describes it as "Plant small nucleolar RNA R71". It matches the Rfam family "Plant small nucleolar RNA R71". From Rfam's summary of the family: R71 is a member of the C/D box family of snoRNAs containing the C (UGAUGA) and D (CUGA) box motifs. Multiple nearly identical copies of this snoRNA have been identified in Arabidopsis, and it is thought to function as a 2'-O-ribose methylation guide for 18S ribosomal RNA. RNAcentral also lists the same sequence under 1 other name. The record is from Rfam by way of RNAcentral. Lineage: Eukaryota; Viridiplantae; Streptophyta; Magnoliopsida; Malvales; Malvaceae.
AUUCCAUGAUGAGGGCAUUUCUGUAAUAAUUUUUGUACCUUUCCCAUGCCUCAUACAAUGACUCAUCAUCCAUUUGUUGUAAAGCAGUGAUCUCGUUCCUCAACUU